UUGCUGUCUUGCUUGAUCCUUCUUUGUGAUUCGUUUGUGUUUUAGCUUUUAUUUUCGGAACUUUAUUAACUACAAACUUGGCUAUUCAAACGGACUCUGAUUGAUUGCAAUAACGACAUACUCAGCCUGGGAUUUACUGUUUUUGUGUGGCUCGGCCAAGGCUCGGCUGGUGGUUCUAUGGUGUUAGAAAAUGAGCAACUUAAUUAUACACAACAAUGGGCAGCACCUCGAUCGGUUACAGCUCAUGAUCUUAUAUGCACAACAUGUUGGACCCAAGCCCAAGAUACAACACAAAUGCAUCUACUUCAAAUCUUAGCAGAAAAUGUGUGCUUUGCAGUAGAACACUAGAGCCUAGAACACGUUCACAUCAGCUCAUGUCCCUGAGAACUAACACUCAACAUCAUAUUAACAUCAGGAACAUAAUUGUGGAACGACUAACUCCAUUAGAGGUUACUGCAAAUGACUACAUCUGUGGGGCUUGUCACUCAUUAUUGCAAAGAGAUACCACACCUACUUCACAAGACUCUCCAGAUAUGCCAACCGGUGCCCCGGUAGGUCACCAACAAGUUUGUGUUGGAUGUGGUUGUUCAUUAUUGCGAACUUGAAGUCAUUGUUUGGAUACAGAGAAUAAUCAAGAUAUAUUAAACAUUGUUCGAAAUUGGAUUCAACCCAGAGAGAUUCGUCCUUCAGAUCUUCUUUGCCAUAGAUACUAUCAGAGAGCACGAAUUACUACAGUUGGUGCUUAUUUAAUGAAGCUGAGGACCGGUGAUUCAGAUGACAGAAUAGCUACAUUACUUGGCAUUUCAAGGAGUACUCUUACAAAAUAUGUAAUGAAAGCACGCAGUAUGAUGGAGGAACAUUUCGUACCAGCACAUUUAGGGUUACAACAUAUUAGUAGAGAGGAAGUAGCCCAAAGAAACCUUUAUGUUCCAGUCUCUUUUCGGGAAGCCAGGAACGAUUUACCACAAAGAAAGGCUAUUGUCAUCAUGGAUGGUACAUACAUACAUUUAUGUGCAAAAAAGUAGCAAUUAUGCAUACCAAAAAAAAAAACUUAUUCCCUAUACAAAUAUCGGAAUCUCGUUAAACCAUUUAUGGUACUUUGUUGUGAUGGCGACAUCAUUGAUGUAUUGGGCCCAUAUUUAAUAGAAAAUGUAGAA
Ostrinia nubilalis (European corn borer) is the source of this 1157-nucleotide long non-coding RNA. RefSeq lists it as uncharacterized. NCBI's taxonomy places the organism in Eukaryota, Metazoa, Arthropoda, Insecta, Lepidoptera, Crambidae. The transcript has 4 exons. The record is from RefSeq and is a predicted model, not a curated record.